UACGUAGGGAGCAAGCGUUGUCCGGAAUCAUUGGGCGUAAAGAGCUUGUAGGUGGUUUGUCGCGUCUGCUGUGAAAAUCCGAGGCUCAACCUCGGACUUGCAGUGGGUACGGGCAGACUAGAGUGUGGUAGGGGAGACUGGAAUUCCUGGUGUAGCGGUGGAAUGCGCAGAUAUCAGGAGGAACACCGGUGGCGAAGGGCGGGGUCUCUGGGCCGAUACUGACGCUGGAGGAGCGAAAGCGUGGGGAGCAAACAGG
This 256-nucleotide ribosomal RNA is filed under the name uncultured bacterium. RNAcentral describes it as "partial 16S ribosomal RNA". It matches the Rfam family "Bacterial small subunit ribosomal RNA", at positions 524 to 776 of the family's 1533-position model. The record is from RNAcentral.